UGGGGAAUAUUGCACAAUGGGCGCAAGCCUGAUGCAGCCAUGCCGCGUGUAUGAAGAAGGCCUUCGGGUUGUAAAGUACUUUCAGCGGGGAGGAAGGGAGUAAAGUUAAUACCUUUGCUCAUUGACGUUACCCGCAGAAGAAGCACCGGCUAACUCCGUGCCAGCAGCCGCGGUAAUACGGAGGGUGCAAGCGUUAAUCGGAAUUACUGGGCGUAAAGCGCACGCAGGCGGUGUGUUAAGUCAGAUGUGAAAUCCCCGGGCUCAACCGGGGAACUGCAUCUGAUACUGGCAAGCUUGAGUCUCGUAGAGGGGGGUAGAAUUCCAGGUGUAGCGGUGAAAUGCGUAGAGAUCUGGAGGAAUACCGGUGGCGAAGGCGGCCCCCUGGACGAAGACUGACGCUCAGGUGCGAAAGCGUGGGGAGCAAACA
Molecule: ribosomal RNA, 427 nt
Filed under: uncultured bacterium
Lineage: Bacteria
Description: partial 16S ribosomal RNA
Rfam family: Bacterial small subunit ribosomal RNA
Source: RNAcentral